AGUGAACGCUGGCGGUAGGCCUAACACAUGCAAGUCGAACGGCAGCACAGUAAGAGCUUGCUCUUACGGGUGGCGAGUGGCGGACGGGUGAGGAAUACAUCGGAAUCUACUUUUUCGUGGGGGAUAACGUAGGGAAACUUACGCUAAUACCGCAUACGACCUACGGGUGAAAGCAGGGGAUCUUCGGACCUUGCGCGAUUGAAUGAGCCGAUGUCGGAUUAGCUAGUUGGCGGGGUAAAGGCCCACCAAGGCGACGAUCCGUAGCUGGUCUGAGAGGAUGAUCAGCCACACUGGAACUGAGAAACGGUCCAGACUCCUAGGGGAGGCGGCAGUGGGGAAUAUUGGACAAUGGGCGCAAGCCUGAUCCAGCCAUACCGCGUGGGUGAAGAAGGCCUUCGGGUUGUAAAGCCCUUUUGUUGGGAAAGAAAAGCAGCAGGUUAAUACCCCGCUGUUCUGACGGUACCCAAAGAAUAAGCACCGGCUAACUUCGU
This 491-nucleotide ribosomal RNA is filed under the name uncultured bacterium. Its description in RNAcentral is "partial 16S ribosomal RNA". It matches the Rfam family "Bacterial small subunit ribosomal RNA", at positions 29 to 506 of the family's 1533-position model. The record is from RNAcentral.